GCCUGGGUGGCUCAGUCGGUUAAGCAUCUGACUCUUGGUUUCAACUCAGGUCCUGAUCUCACGGUUUGUGGGUUCGAGUCCCACAUCGGGCU
This 92-nucleotide transfer RNA is filed under the name Felis catus (domestic cat). It matches the Rfam family "tRNA". Rfam says of the family: Transfer RNA (tRNA) molecules are approximately 80 nucleotides in length. RNAcentral also lists the same sequence under 3 other names. Lineage: Eukaryota; Metazoa; Chordata; Mammalia; Carnivora; Felidae. The record is from Rfam by way of RNAcentral.